AGAUCUAAGACGAUGACGGGUAGCCGGCCUGAGAGGGCGACCGGCCACACUGGGACUGAGACACGGCCCAGACUCCUACGGGAGGCAGCAGUGGGGAAUAUUGCACAAUGGGCGAAAGCCUGAUGCAGCGACGCCGCGUGAGGGAUGACGGCCUUCGGGUUGUAAACCUCUUUCAGUAGGGAAGAAGCGAAAGUGACGGUACCUGCAGAAGAAGCGCCGGCUAACUACGUGCCAGCAGCCGCGGUAAUACGUAGGGCGCAAGCGUUGUCCGGAAUUAUUGGGCGUAAAGAGCUCGUAGGUGGCUUGUCGCGUCUGCCGUGAAAACCCGAGGCUCAACCUCGGGCGUGCGGUGGGUACGGGCAGGCUAGAGUGUGGUAGGGGAGACUGGAACUCCUGGUGUAGCGGUGAAAUGCGCAGAUAUCAGGAAGAACACCGAUGGCGAAGGCAGGUCUCUGGGCCAUUACUGACACUGAGGAGCGAAAGCAUGGGUAGCGAACAGGAUUAGAUACCCUGGUAGUCCAUGCCGUAAACGUUGGGCACUAGAUGUGGGGGACAUUCCACGUUUUCCGCGUCGUAGCUAACGCAUUAAGUGCCCCGCCUGGGGGAGUACGGACAACAAGCUGAUAGGCCGCGA
RNAcentral lists this ribosomal RNA (634 nucleotides) under uncultured Brachybacterium sp. Its description in RNAcentral is "bacterial SSU rRNA". It matches the Rfam family "Bacterial small subunit ribosomal RNA", at positions 264 to 873 of the family's 1533-position model. The record is from RNAcentral. Lineage: Bacteria; Bacillati; Actinomycetota; Actinomycetes; Micrococcales; Dermabacteraceae.